Molecule: ribosomal RNA, 253 nt
Filed under: uncultured bacterium
Lineage: Bacteria
Description: partial 16S ribosomal RNA
Rfam family: Bacterial small subunit ribosomal RNA
Source: RNAcentral
UACGUAGGGUGCAAGCGUUGUCCGGAAUUAUUGGGCGUAAAGAGCUCGUAGGCGGUUUGUCGCGUCUGCUGUGAAAACCCGAGGCUCAACCUCGGGCCUGCAGUGGGUACGGGCAGACUAGAGUGCGGUAGGGGAGAUUGGAAUUCCUGGUGUAGCGGUGGAAUGCGCAGAUAUCAGGAGGAACACCAAUGGCGAAGGCAGAUUUCUGGGCCGUAACUGACGCUGAGGAGCGAAAGCAUGGGGAGCGAACAGG